This 823-nucleotide long non-coding RNA is filed under the name Castor canadensis (American beaver). Its description in RNAcentral is "lncRNA (ENSCCNG00000028309.1)". Lineage: Eukaryota; Metazoa; Chordata; Mammalia; Rodentia; Castoridae. The record is from RNAcentral.
CUACAAGGGAGAGUGAAUCCAUUGCUUCUCCAUGUUGCUGUGAAGGUGGCUGGAAAGCAUGCAGUAGGACACUAAAGAUUUGGCACUUACUCUCAUUAACUGAUGAAUUUGGAGGACCUAGAAGUGGAAAGCCAGCACUCCCAGAUUUGUCUUCCGAAAACACUGAGACUUAGCUGCUCCACGGGGCUUCCUCACUUCUGAGACGCGGGUGAAUGAUUUGAAGAUUUCAGUCCUAGCAACACAGAAGCAACUUUAAAAAUAAGAUUUGCAAGAAGUUACCUCUCUCAGGUAAUGAUACUUUCCUGUAAUUUCUCUCAAAUCUUCCAUUUCCUCAAGGACUACAUAUUUUUAGGGCAUACAUGAAUGAUUUAAUUACAAAGAACUACAUUUUAAAUUUAAUUUUUUAAAACUAGCAACCAGUUUUAUAAUUUUGAAAGCCAAUGGGUACAACAAUCAUGGCAUUCAAUUCUAUGCACUUUGAAACAGUUUUUUUAAAUUAAUUGUAUAAUAGUGCGUGUUUCUUUUGACAAUAAUUUAGGCAGAAUGUGUUUGAAACCAGCAGGCAAUGCCCACAAACUCUGUGUCUAGCAUAGGUAUUUGAAUUUAAAAAAGAAAAAGUCACGCUUAGUGAAUUGGUUCUAAAGAGGCUAUCAAGUGUUCUGAAUUAUAGAUCUGUAAAUUGUAGAAUGUCAUUAUUGAUAUUUUAACUUUAGCCUUAGUUUAUUAAUACAAUAUAGCACUAGCUGAAACUCUGAAUAUACAUCCAGUGAGUAAGACUUGACCUCGGCUCUCUUGAGAUAGACAGUUGCCUUUUAGUGUCAUU